Telopea speciosissima is the source of this 155-nucleotide long non-coding RNA. RefSeq lists it as uncharacterized. The transcript has 3 exons. The record is from RefSeq and is a predicted model, not a curated record. NCBI's taxonomy places the organism in Eukaryota, Viridiplantae, Streptophyta, Magnoliopsida, Proteales, Proteaceae.
AUGUUGUUAAAACAUUAAAGCUGUUUUUGUGUGUUGAUAUACAUUGUUGUGGCCCUUACUUAACAGCUCAAGCUUUUGGAAUAAGCGGUUGUAACAUGGUAUCAAAGCCAGUAGGUCGGGUGUUCAAUCCCUGGUAAGUGUGAGGGGUCUGUGUU